GACGAACGCUGGCGGCGCGCCUAACACAUGCAAGUCGAACGAGCGAGAGAGAGCUUGCUUUCUCGAGCGAGUGGCGAACGGGUGAGUAACGCGUGAGGAACCUGCCUCAAAGAGGGGGACAACAGUUGGAAACGACUGCUAAUACCGCAUAAGCCCACAGCUCGGCAUCGAGCAGAGGGAAAAGGAGUGAUCCGCUUUGAGAUGGCCUCGCGUCCGAUUAGCUGGUUGGUAAGGUAACGGCUUACCAAGGCGAUGAUGCAUAGCCGAGUUGAGAGACUGAUCGGCCACAAUGGAACUGAGACACGGUCCAU
This 311-nucleotide ribosomal RNA is filed under the name uncultured bacterium. RNAcentral describes it as "bacterial SSU rRNA". It matches the Rfam family "Bacterial small subunit ribosomal RNA", at positions 28 to 334 of the family's 1533-position model. The record is from RNAcentral.